Long non-coding RNA from Paramisgurnus dabryanus, 379 nucleotides. RefSeq lists it as uncharacterized. Lineage: Eukaryota; Metazoa; Chordata; Actinopteri; Cypriniformes; Cobitidae. The record is from RefSeq and is a predicted model, not a curated record.
CUGAACUCUGCAGGAUAGUUGAUGGACAGGAGCAGGAUUGGGCGCUGUAGCGUUCUCACAGUGUUUUCAUCACGGAAACCAAGAGAUUCAUAAACUGAACAGCAGAUGGCGAUAUUUCUCCAGUCGUGGUGGUGAAUCAUAGGCUGCUUUCAAGUCACUGAAAGCUGAAAAAAACUUCACAAGCUGCAACACGUUCAUGCUUCUCGACAAAAACCCAUCACACUGGUAUUCAACCUGAAACAGAAAAGCUUAUGGUCCUGUAUCACCACAUAACAAGGCCACAUUUUAUACUUCUGUUUUUUGAGAUGCCUUGUGUACCUUGUCUGCAAAGUACUAGAUGAUAAAAGCUGUGUUAGACAUGCAAGAUUUCUCAAAAUAU